CCAAACCCCACUAACUGGAUAUGAAGGUGUGUCACAGCAGAGAGGGGGGAGUGGUGACCUGGGAAUGUGGCAGGGGAGUUUCACUGAGAGCCUGUAACCUGAGCCAGGAGGGGGAGGGGGAGGCAACACCUCUGCCCUGGGAAUGUGGACAAAGGCGGCAGGAGGGAGCCUGCU
Long non-coding RNA from Dermochelys coriacea (leatherback sea turtle), 174 nucleotides. RefSeq lists it as uncharacterized. The transcript has 3 exons. The record is from RefSeq and is a predicted model, not a curated record. NCBI's taxonomy places the organism in Eukaryota, Metazoa, Chordata, Testudines, Dermochelyidae.